AGGGAAUAUUGGACAAUGGGGGAAACCCUGAUCCAGCCAUGCCGCGUGUGUGAAGAAGGUCUUAGGAUUGUAAAGCACUUUAAGUUGGGAGGAAGGGCAGUUAACUAAUAUUUGACUGUUUUGACGUUACCGACAGAAUAAGCACCGGCUAACUUCGUGCCAGCAGCCGCGGUAAUACGAAGGGUGCAAGCGUUAAUCGGAAUUACUGGGCGUAAAGCGCGCGUAGGUGGUUCGUUAAGUUGGAUGUGAAAGCCCCGGGCUCAACCUGGGAACUGCAUCCAAAACUGGCGAGCUAGAGUACGGUAGAGGGUGGUGGAAUUUCCUGUGUAGCGGUGAAAUGCGUAGAUAUAGGAAGGAACACCAGUGGCGAAGGCGACCACCUGGACUGAUACUGACACUGAGGUGCGAAAGCGUGGGGAGCAAACA
This 426-nucleotide ribosomal RNA is filed under the name uncultured Pseudomonas sp. RNAcentral's name for it is "bacterial SSU rRNA". It matches the Rfam family "Bacterial small subunit ribosomal RNA", at positions 356 to 774 of the family's 1533-position model. Lineage: Bacteria; Pseudomonadati; Pseudomonadota; Gammaproteobacteria; Pseudomonadales; Pseudomonadaceae. The record is from RNAcentral.